This 738-nucleotide ribosomal RNA is filed under the name Basidiobolus sp. RNAcentral's name for it is "partial large subunit ribosomal RNA". It matches the Rfam family "Eukaryotic large subunit ribosomal RNA", at positions 62 to 648 of the family's 3401-position model. The record is from RNAcentral. Lineage: Eukaryota; Fungi; Basidiobolomycota; Basidiobolomycetes; Basidiobolales; Basidiobolaceae.
AAACUAACAAGGAUUCCCCUAGUAACGGCGAGUGAAGCGGGAAGAGCUCAAAUUUAAAAUCUGUAAGGUUCAACCUUGCCGAGUUGUAGUUUGAAGAAGUGUUUUCCGCGGCGGCUGCAGUACAAAUCCUUUGGAACAGGGUAUCAGAGAGGGUGAGAAUCCCGUCUUUGACUGCAGACUAGUUGCACUGUGAUACACUUUCUAAGAGUCGAGUUGUUUGGGAAUGCAGCUCAAAAUGGGUGGUAAAUUUCAUCUAAAGCUAAAUAUUGGCAAGAGACCGAUAGCGAACAAGUACCGUGAGGGAAAGAUGAAAAGAACUUUGAAAAGAGAGUUAAAUAGUACGUGAAAUUGUUAAAAGGGAAACGCUUGAAGUCAGUGUUGCCGGCGGAAAAUCAGCUUCAGACUGGAGACUUGCGCGGGUGGAGGGAGUGUUAAAACCCCUUGCCAGCGUACAGGAACUUGGAUGGAGUGCACUUUUCAGUCGGCAGGUCAACAUCAAUUUCAGCCGGUGGAAAAAAGCUAGCGGAACGUAGGUUGGAGCAAUCCAACUGUUAUAGCCGCAAGCCAAUACACUGGGUGGGAUUGAGGACAGCAGUGCAGGCCAUUAUGGCGGAAGCUCAGUGUUGUUCUCCGGGGGGCAUGUCAAGACAGCUUGCUGACUUGGUGUGUACACUCUUGGGAAGGAUGCGGAUGUACUUCUCCUGCACUAAGGAUGUUGACGAAAUGGCUUUAAACGAC